Molecule: long non-coding RNA, 594 nt
Filed under: Vombatus ursinus (common wombat)
Lineage: Eukaryota; Metazoa; Chordata; Mammalia; Diprotodontia; Vombatidae
Description: lncRNA (ENSVURG00010017179.1)
Source: RNAcentral
AGAAAUAACACACAAACUAAAGAGAGGUUUUUUCUUUCUUUUUUAAGAACUUUCUCAGGGAGACCAAUUCCCAGAAUCAGUGUUGAAGAAGAUCUCAGAGGCCAUUUAGGGCUGGCUUGGAAGGAGAGUCAUAGAAUCUGAUGUCAUUCACAUAGAUACCAAUACCUAAUCAUCUUAUCAUCUAACUUUCAAGAAUGAGACAACUGACGGUAACUUUUCUCCAAGUGCUUGGGUGUGGCUAAAAGACAAAGAUGAACAUUGUACCUGUCCCCUAUCUGCCCUUCGGGGGAUUUUUUUUUUAAGACCAUCCCUGGAUGAAGCACGCACCCACUGAUGUCAACUAUAGGCCUAGGAGCCAUGGGUUUCUUCUAGGAAGACAAAGGGUGAACAGGAAGCUCUAUUGUGUCAUGCUCUGAGGGACUCUAUUACUUUGGAAACUGAGAAGGCGGGCCAGGAGUCAUGGGAAGCAUGGAAACUGUGUUGGGAUCCAUUUGCUCAGAUGGAAUACAUCAACUUCUGAAUUCAAUUUUGUUGGAAAUGCUGGCAUUGUCACUGCCAAGAAAACCCUUGUGUUGCUGCGCACUCACAUAAGAG